UCCAACUUUGACUGUCUGUUUUAUAUGAUUUUUUUUGUAAUUUGUAUUUUUAUUGUUAUUAGAUGAUAAAACAUGAUUAAUAUUUUAUGCGUGACUUGUUUUUUUAAUUUUUUUCAUAAUUUUUUUAAAUAAGACGGACGGUCAAAUGUUGGACAUGAAAAC
RNAcentral lists this microRNA precursor (162 nucleotides) under Oryza nivara. Its description in RNAcentral is "MIR812 microRNA precursor family". It matches the Rfam family "MIR812 microRNA precursor family", at positions 27 to 188 of the family's 205-position model. The record is from Rfam by way of RNAcentral. Lineage: Eukaryota; Viridiplantae; Streptophyta; Magnoliopsida; Poales; Poaceae.